AAACGAUAGCCAAGCGGUAAAGGCGCUCGACUAGAUUCGAGUGGCGCAAGCCAUCGGUGGUUCGAAUCCACCUCGUUUUG
RNAcentral lists this transfer RNA (80 nucleotides) under Parvularculaceae bacterium. RNAcentral describes it as "tRNA-OTHER". It matches the Rfam family "tRNA". From Rfam's summary of the family: Transfer RNA (tRNA) molecules are approximately 80 nucleotides in length. Their secondary structure includes four short double-helical elements and three loops (D, anti-codon, and T loops). The record is from RNAcentral. Lineage: Bacteria; Pseudomonadati; Pseudomonadota; Alphaproteobacteria; Parvularculales; Parvularculaceae.